This 2201-nucleotide long non-coding RNA is filed under the name Brassica napus (rape). RNAcentral's name for it is "long non-coding RNA (BNAP_LNC019052)". Lineage: Eukaryota; Viridiplantae; Streptophyta; Magnoliopsida; Brassicales; Brassicaceae. The record is from RNAcentral.
UACAAAUAAUUUUAUUAAAAUCCCAUAUCAUUAUUUUAAAUAAUAAUUAAGCCGGUGAUACCGCUUUUGAAACAGACACACAAUAAGCCCAUACUUCAUCUCUUUUCUGUAAAUAUUUGGAUUCGUUUCCGAUUAAACUAGGUCUAUCCGCGAUAUAUUUGACAAGUGUGUCAUGACACUCUUUGCCUUCUUGAACAAGCUCCUUGCAACAAGGAAUGGAUACAACUCCAUCUCCAAAAACUUGAGAAAUGAUCUUGAGCGCACAGUUUGGACUGAUUUUAACAACACAUUGAUCCCAUAACUUUUUUGGCUCAUUUUCUUCUACAGCGAAUGAAGGUACACAUGUAUUCGCCACAACUAGGACAACAAAAGACAACAUAGUAAAGUUAAGCUUCGCCAUGGUUGUUAUGUGUUUGAGGAUUUACUGUUUAACUUUCCUCAAGUUAGAGAAAGAAAUAAGUUUUUAAAUUUCUGAUGUUAUUUGAAUAAACGAGGCUUGCCCUAUUUAUAGAUACGAAUAAUCAAUAUUUAACAUUUAUGUUCGACUAAUGAAUUUUGCUUUUGACGUUUUUAUCAUUAACAGGUGUUAAGUUACAUUUUUUGCUGAAGUUAUUAACUGCUUAGGCUUAUACUUUAUAAAGAAUUAAAUUAGGAUUCCUGUAGUAUACAAAUGAACACACUAAAAAGUUAUAUAAUUAUUUAAAUUAAAAACUACCGAACAUUUUUAAUGAAUUUUUUUUUUGUCAGCAACAUAUAAUUUGGUGGUUGUAUAUCAACUUACUACAAAAACCAAAAGUACACUCUAACAUUUGAUCAAUCUAGAAAUGAUUUAAAGUAUAUAUCGAUAUAUCUCUCUCUCUAUAAGAUUAAAGGAAAGAGUUUCAGAUUUUAUAUAUUUUUUAUUUCGUAAUGUAGGAUGCUUAAGAAUGUAAUUUUAUCCUUUUAAUUUUAUAAACUUUUAUAUAGGGAUGGUUAUGAGGUAAAACAUGACUCCACUUGGGAAAAUAAUCUACAAAUUUCAAUUCCUAUACAAGAAAUAAAACAUGAAAUCUAUAUAGAAUGAAAUUUAAUAAAAACUUAAAAAUAAAUUUUCGAAUUUAAACUUGCCAUAUCAUAUUUUAUCAGUUUAUAACUUACAUAAUAUUUUAAUUACUAUAUAUUUUCUCAAGGAAAUUUAUGUGUCUCAUAUUAAACAUAUAACUAGCAUAUAUAUACUUAUAUAAAUUAACGAAUGGUUAUUUUUAUUCUUGAAUGAAUUUUUUUAAUAGAGUUGAGUGCUUUUAAAAAUGGUUCAUGCACAGUUUUGAGCCGCGACUCUGUUUGUAUUUGGUUAAUGUUUCUUAAAUCAUUCUUCAAAUUGUGUAUCCGAUCAAUUUAUUCAAAAUAUAUUUAAUAACUCCAAAAUUUAAAUAUGAAAACGUAUGUGAUGGGAAAAAGAAAAUGGUAUAUAGAUUGUGCGACCACUUGAAGGUGAUACUAUAAAUGUAAUAAGUCUGUUGCGGUCUUGUGGAUUGGAGAAAUAGUAGAUUUUUAAGAUUACAAAUUAGUGUUUAUUUUGAUAUUUCAACUUAUUAAUUCAUAAAAAGUUUAAAUAUUAUUAUUUUUUUAAUUGGCAUCUAAAACUGAGAAAAGGGAACAAAUAAUGCAAAAUAAAUUAAGUAACACAAAACGAUAAAUAUCAAUAUAAAUCUCACAUGAAUAUAUUAAAAAUUAAUUUUGAAUUUGUAUGCAAAUACAAAUAAUUUUAUUAAAAUCCCAGAUCAUUAUUUUAAAUAAUAAUUAAGCCGGUGAUACCGCUUUUGAAACAGACACACAAUAAGCCCAUACUUCAUCUCUUUUCUGUAAAUAUUUGGAUUCGUUUCCGAUUAAACUAGGUCUAUCCGCGAUAUAUUUGACAAGUGUGUCAUGACACUCUUUGCCUUCUUGAACAAGCUCCUUGCAACAAGGAAUGGAUACAACUCCAUCUCCAAAAACUUGAGAAAUGAUCUUGAGCGCACAGUUUGGACUGAUUUUAACAACACAUUGAUCCCAUAACUUUUUUGGCUCAUUUUCUUCUACAGCGAAUGAAGGUACACAUGUAUUCGCCACAACUAGGACAACAAAAGACAACAUAGUAAAGUUAAGCUUCGCCAUGGUUGUUAUGUGUUUGAGGAUUUACUGUUUAACUUUCCUCAAGUUAGAGAAAGAAAUAAGUUUUUAAA